Molecule: small RNA, 73 nt
Filed under: Lutibacter maritimus
Lineage: Bacteria; Pseudomonadati; Bacteroidota; Flavobacteriia; Flavobacteriales; Flavobacteriaceae
Description: Flavo-1 RNA
Rfam family: Flavo-1 RNA
Source: Rfam by way of RNAcentral
UAGUAGCGUUAGGGAUAGCAGUGAAAAUCCUUUUUUGAUAAAAAAAAGAUUGAAACGAAUAGCCCGACCCAAA